GGUAACCCGCUCAGGUCGCCUUCAGUGCUGUGUAAGCUGUUGUUUUGCUCUUCGCAAUGAAUCUUGUUGCUGUUCACUUUUUGGGGAUGUGCUGCCUUUAUGAGCUGUAACACUCAGAAGGUCUGCAGCCUUGCUUUUGAGGCCAGCGAGGCCACGAACCCACAGGAAGGAACUAACAACUCCAGAUGCGCCGCCUUUAAGAGCUAUAACACACACCACCAAUGUCCGCAGCUUCACUCCUGAAGUCAGCCGGACCACGAACCCACCCGUAAGAAGAAACUCCGGACACACUAUGUUUUAGAACUUUAACACUCACUGCUGGAGUCUGUGGCUUCAUUCUUGAAGUCAGUGAGACCAAGAACCCACCAAUUCCGAACACAUGUGGGAUUACGGGGAUGAGGAAACGGGCACAGUCAUGUGUGUUCAAAGGAAGUGACUGAGUAAGGAAGCAAAUUCAGAGUGUCACUCUGUCACCCAGGCUGGAGUGCAGUGGCACAAUCUCGGCUUGCUGCAACCUCCACCUCCUGGGUUCAAGCAAUUCUCCUGCCUCAGCCUCCUGAGUAGCUGGGACUGCAGGCAUGCACCACCACGCCCAGCUAAGAAAACUCAUUUUCUUAAUGCCAUUCUCCUGGCUUCACCCCCAAGCCCCAUCUCAAAUCCUUAUCCCAUUUCCAAGAUCUGCUUCCUGAUCUUUAGGCUCUUCCAACAGUCUGGUAAGGUCAGAAUGUGGAUAUUCUCAGAAAUGUGAAGGAAGGAUUAACGUUCGUGUGGAUUCUGUCAAUAGCUAUCACGGCCCUCUGUUUAAGUCUGUGCGGUCUGGCUUCCAUCCCUCUACUCUGAGGAUCCUGCUUAUGACCAAGGACUCCCAAUGAUCAAAUCCAGCCAACUGAGUUAAGCCUCAACCUCAUGUGAAUCUAUAGAAAUCUGCAUAGCCAGUUACCACUUCUGAACUGUUUUGACUCAAUUCAAUUCCAACAUGAAGUCACCAAAUGUUAGCACAGACUCUGCAGGUUAAGGGCUCAGCUCCACAAAACUGUCCCCACUUCAGACUUCUGUCCCAAGUCCCAGGUUGCCACAUGUAUGUAUAACCAGCUGGCUAUAAAUUAUGGGGAGGGGUUCCCAUAUUCCCCUCCACAGGUUUGAUAAUUUGUUAGAAACACUCACAAAACCCAGGAAAACAGUUGGCCAUUUUAUUAUAAGAGAUAGGAGUUUUCAAUCCUUGGAGUAAUAAUGUGUGACUGAUGUUUCCUUGUUUGUCAUUUCUAGCAAUUUCCAAAUCCUAUAAUUCUGUACUAAAAGUAUCUCUUUCAACUCCCAUUAGGAUUUAUUCCUUCCCACUUAUAUGUGGUUACGGAGGCUGUCCUUAUUAAAGAAUGCAAAUGAACAGCCAGGUGAAGAGGCCCAGAAUGGUUCCCAAUGCAGGAGCUUCUGUUCCAUGGAAUUGGGGGUGUGCUACCUCCCAGCACAUGGACCAAAUUUAAGUGUGCAUCAACCUGGCUGUUCCCCAAAACCCAUCAUUUAGAGUUGUUUAUGGAGGUUUUCAGUUAUGGAGGAACGAUUUAUUAAAUCAGGCCAUUAUUGAUUAAUUCAAUCUUUAGCUCCCUCUCCUCUCCCUGGAGUCAGGGGAGGGGCUGAAGUUUCUAACCCUCUAUUCAUGCUUUAGCUUUUCCAGUGACCAGAACCCAUCCUAUCUGGGGGACCACAGCCACCAGUCAUCUCAUUAGCAUACAAAAGAGACAACUCCUGAGAUUUCAAGGGUUUUAGAAGCUGAGUGCCAGAAACUGGUGACAAAGACCAAAUACAUAUGUAUCACACCAUCUUUUCUUGAAACUGUCUUCCUUGGACUUUCUCAAUUCCAGUUCUCCUGGUAUUUCUACUGCUACGAAUUGUUCCUUCAUUAUUCAUUUUGUUGCCUUGUUCUUCCUUUCCUUUUUUCUUAAACUUGGGUCUUUCCCACUGCUUUGGCAUGUAUAACACUGCCAAAGCCCUUAGCCAUUAUCUCCAUAUAGAUAAAUCACACAUCGUGAUAAUUAGUCUCAGUAGUUCUGAAUAGCUCAUUCUUAUUUCCCACUUCCUUUUUGUUGCCAAUGUGUAUCCUUUAUAAAGUUUCAAUAUCUGCUUGCGGUACAAUUUUCCUAUUUAUUCAAAUUCAAUUGGAGUAAUAAUGCUUGACUGCUCUUCCCUUGUAUUAAUUUCCAACAAGUAUCAAAUCCUAUAGAUUCUGUAUUAAAAGUAUUUCUUUCAUCUGUCCAUUAGGAUUUAUUCCUUCCCACUUACAUGCCAUCAUCAUGAAGGGAGCUUUUAUUAUCAUGGCUCAGUGACUGCCAUGUCUCCUGACUGUUUCACCUAUUGAGCCGCCUCUUCCAAACUACCAGCUUACGGCUUCAGUCUUCUAUGAUUCCCAUUGGUCACCUUCUAUAUUAAAAAUGAGAACAACUUAAGAAAUUAGGUCCUAAAAUAAAUUUCCCAGCAUAUGCAUUCCUUCCAUAAUAACUAUUACUUAUUUAGCAUAUACUAUGUGCCAAAAACAUCAUUAGCCAUGUUACUGAUAGACAGGAGACAGCCAAGGUCCCCGGCAAAACCCCACCUUUAAGCCUAAAGCAGCCUGAAGGCUGAAAAGCCGGACUGCAGGUCCUGGAUGAAGCCAGGCUUUUCCCGACUGAUUGUUUCUGAAUGGUGCCCAUCUGCGCACUGGGAGGACGGGGUGGAGCCUUGGGAAGUUCCCGCCAUUUGCAAGGGGGAGGAACCUGGCCUCUCCUGUUCCUGUGUGGUGACCUGGGAUUCAAUCUGUGAGGCGGGAAACCUGCUAGCAGUACUCUCUCUCUCACUUUGCUGAGAGUUAUUUUUCCUUUUUUCUUUUCGCCCAAUAAACCCUGCUCUACUCACCCUCC
Long non-coding RNA from Pan troglodytes (chimpanzee), 2891 nucleotides. RefSeq lists it as uncharacterized. The transcript is spliced from 3 exons. The record is from RefSeq and is a predicted model, not a curated record. NCBI's taxonomy places the organism in Eukaryota, Metazoa, Chordata, Mammalia, Primates, Hominidae.